CAGGGCUGAUCUGCACAGAGGGGACCAGGCACUCCACUGACCUUCUGCUGGACUUCUCUGGCCAGGACCCCUGCAGCAGGGAAGCAGCCUCACUAGUCCGGGUGACUGAAUAAACAGCUGCUAGGGGUGUGGAAGUCAGCGGGUCCCGUGUGAUGAAUGGAGCUCUCAGUGUCCCAGCCACAGAACUGUUCUUCUUUUGUCUCUCUCUCUUUAGCUCUCUGUUAUAUAAACAUCUGGAGGGCUGAGCACCAUUUUUGCCCUAGUCAAGGAAGAAUACAUCUUAUAUUCACCACAAAAAGGCCCGCGGUGAGCAGGCCAUACCAGCAUAGGAACUGGACUAGCUCUGUGUGGGGUGGACUUGGAGACUCACUCUGAACCACUUUUCUUUCCUUUCCAGACCUCUGACGAGUGAGCUGAUGUGUGUGCAGACUCCAGAUUCCCUUCCGGAUCCAUACAAGGGAAAUGACACCUUCAUCCAUGUGAGUGUCAAGGGCAUCUUCACACUCCGGGCCCUUGCACAUGUGCAACCAGGGCAGCAGAAGACACAUUGGCGAUCAUCCCUUUCCUGGAGGAAGGACCGUAUAGCCAGUUCUUCAACAUCUACUACCAUAAAGCACACCGGAAGGGGGCGCACAAGCACAGAGUCAUGGAGGAAGAGGACCACUGAGAGCCUUUCUAUCACCGGCCACGGUUGUUUUCCUGCCUCUGAGGUGCAGUUUGGGAGAGAAGGACAGUGGCCUCAGGCUGUCCAUGUACUGAAGAGGCCUGCAGAGUCCUAAAAGCAGCAAGACUUCUUUUUACUAUUGGAAUUAAAGGCAAUUAUAUAGCAACU
Molecule: long non-coding RNA, 832 nt
Filed under: Fukomys damarensis (Damara mole-rat)
Lineage: Eukaryota; Metazoa; Chordata; Mammalia; Rodentia; Bathyergidae
Description: lncRNA (ENSFDAG00000028498.1)
Source: RNAcentral